RNAcentral lists this ribosomal RNA (259 nucleotides) under uncultured Pelagophyceae. Its description in RNAcentral is "partial Bacterial large subunit ribosomal RNA". It matches the Rfam family "Bacterial large subunit ribosomal RNA", at positions 1402 to 1664 of the family's 2925-position model. Lineage: Eukaryota; Pelagophyceae. The record is from RNAcentral.
CCGAAAGGCGUAGUCGAUGGGAAACAGGUUAAUAUUCCUGUACUUGUUAUUACUGCGAUGGGAUGACGGAGAAGGUUAGGUCAGCCAACUGUUGGAUAUGUUGGUUUAACUGUGUAGGCGUGCUGCUUAGGAAAAUCCGGGCGGCUAAGCUGAGACAGGACGACGAGUGCCAUUAGGCGCGAAGUGAUUGAUACCCGGCUUCCAGGAAAAGUCUCUAAGCUUCAGGUAAUAACAAACCGUACCCCAAACCGACACAGGU